GUGAACUGCCGCAUAGGCAGCUUAGAAA
This is a non-coding RNA of Dethiosulfatarculus sandiegensis, 28 nucleotides long. The record is from Rfam. Lineage: Bacteria; Pseudomonadati; Thermodesulfobacteriota; Desulfarculia; Desulfarculales; Desulfarculaceae.